GACGAACGCUGGCGGCGUGCUUAACACAUGCAAGUCGAACGGAAAGGCCCUGCUUUUGUGGGGUGCUCGAGUGGCGAACGGGUGAGUAACACGUGAGUAACCUGCCCUUGACUUUGGGAUAACUUCAGGAAACUGGGGCUAAUACCGGAUAGGAGCUCCUGCUGCAUGGUGGGGGUUGGAAAGUUUCGGCGGUUGGGGAUGGACUCGCGGCUUAUCAGCUUGUUGGUGGGGUAGUGGCUUACCAAGGCUUUGACGGGUAGCCGGCCUGAGAGGGUGACCGGCCACAUUGGGACUGGGAUACGGCCCAGACCACUACGGGAGGCAGCAGUGGGGAAUAUUGCACAAUGGGCGGAAGCCUGAGGCAGCAACGCCGCGUGCGGGAUGACGGCCUUCGGGUUGUAAACCGAUUUCGCCUGUGACGAAGCGUGAGUGACGGUAAUGGGUAAAGAAGCACCGGCUAACUACGUG
RNAcentral lists this ribosomal RNA (468 nucleotides) under uncultured bacterium. Its description in RNAcentral is "partial 16S ribosomal RNA". It matches the Rfam family "Bacterial small subunit ribosomal RNA", at positions 28 to 507 of the family's 1533-position model. The record is from RNAcentral.